UGGGUGGUAUAUUUCAUCUAAAGCUAAAUAUUGGCCAGAGACCGAUAGCGCACAAGUAGAGUGAUCGAAAGAUGAAAAGCACUUUGGAAAGAGAGUUAAACAGUACGUGAAAUUGUUGAAAGGGAAGCGCUUGCAACCAGACUUGCAUGCCGUCGAUCAUCCUGGGUUCUCCCUGGUGCACUCGGCGGCGUUCAGGCCAGCAUCGGUUUCGGUGGUUGGAUAAAGGCCUUGGGAAUGUAGCUCCUCUCGGGGAGUGUUAUAGCCCUCGGUGCAAUGCAGCCUACUGGGACCGAGGACCGCGCUUCGGCUAGGAUGCUGGCGUAAUGGUUGUAAGCGACCCGUCUUGAAACACGGACC
RNAcentral lists this ribosomal RNA (357 nucleotides) under Hymenotorrendiella spooneri. RNAcentral's name for it is "partial large subunit ribosomal RNA". It matches the Rfam family "Eukaryotic large subunit ribosomal RNA", at positions 293 to 667 of the family's 3401-position model. Lineage: Eukaryota; Fungi; Ascomycota; Leotiomycetes; Helotiales; Helotiaceae. The record is from RNAcentral.